This 507-nucleotide long non-coding RNA is filed under the name Cricetulus griseus (Chinese hamster). Its description in RNAcentral is "lncRNA (ENSCGRG00015033070.1)". Lineage: Eukaryota; Metazoa; Chordata; Mammalia; Rodentia; Cricetidae. The record is from RNAcentral.
CCAUGGAUUAAAUGGCACCGAAGAGUGUUUGGAAAGACAGUUCUUCACUAAGUUCCCAGGGAGGGAAACCAGGAACUGACCACCAUUUGCUGAGUCAUUUUUAUUGGAUUCAGACCUUAAGAAAGACUCUGGAGGAUUUGGAAAUUCUAAGUAGACUUUGCCAUAGCAACUUCAAUGAACAAAUUCUUCUCUGACAGUGGUUCAUUUGCAUCUGAGGAUGGUUUGGGUCCAGAGCACGGAGGCAACUUUUCAGAGAUGCAGCAGGCAGAGGGCUGAACCAGUUUCUAAGAAAAGAUUCCUGAGCCUGGACCCGGUAGCAUUUGAAAUCCCUGGAGAUGUCCAGGUGGGCUUUUCUUCAAGUUGCAUCCAUUGUCUCAACUGAAGAUUUAAUCUGAGUUCCUCAUGAGUGUGCACAGAGGAAGGAGGAAACGUGGAAAUUCUCCUCUUUUGUUCUGUUCUUUUGCUGAAAAGAUUUCCGGACACAUCCUGAAUGACACCUGCCUGACC